UCCCUGGUGGUCUAGUAGCUAAGACAGCACUUCCAAUGCAGGGGACCCAGGUUCAAUCCCUGGUCAAGGAA
This 71-nucleotide transfer RNA is filed under the name Bos taurus (domestic cattle). It matches the Rfam family "tRNA". From Rfam's summary of the family: Transfer RNA (tRNA) molecules are approximately 80 nucleotides in length. The record is from Rfam by way of RNAcentral. RNAcentral also lists the same sequence under 2 other names. Lineage: Eukaryota; Metazoa; Chordata; Mammalia; Artiodactyla; Bovidae.